CCCGGGACGCGGCGCAUUUGGCCGGUGUGGUACAGAGAAGCCGGCUUGUUUACUGCCCGUCCCGGG
This is a regulatory RNA element of Patagioenas fasciata monilis, 66 nucleotides long. It matches the Rfam family "MAT2A 3'UTR stem loop F". The record is from Rfam. Lineage: Eukaryota; Metazoa; Chordata; Aves; Columbiformes; Columbidae.